Gossypium arboreum is the source of this 107-nucleotide small nucleolar RNA. It matches the Rfam family "Plant small nucleolar RNA R71". Rfam says of the family: R71 is a member of the C/D box family of snoRNAs containing the C (UGAUGA) and D (CUGA) box motifs. Multiple nearly identical copies of this snoRNA have been identified in Arabidopsis, and it is thought to function as a 2'-O-ribose methylation guide for 18S ribosomal RNA. NCBI's taxonomy places the organism in Eukaryota, Viridiplantae, Streptophyta, Magnoliopsida, Malvales, Malvaceae. The record is from Rfam.
AAUCCAUGCAUAGGACAUUUCCUAAGUAAAUUUUUGAACCUUUCCCAUGCUUCAUACAAUGUUUCAUCCUCUAAUUGCUUGAACAAUGUUAUGUCAUUUCUCAUUUU